AAAAUGUACCGGGGCUAAACAUAUUACCGAAGCUGUGGAUUGUCCUUUGGACAAUGGUAGGAGAGCGUUCUAAGGGCGUUGAAGCAUGAUCGUAAGGACAUGUGGAGCGCUUAGAAGUGAGAAUGCCGGUGUGAGUAGCGAAAGACGGGUGAGAAUCCCGUCCACCGAUUGACUAAGGUUUCCAGAGGAAGGCUCGUCCGCUCUGGGUUAGUCGGGUCCUAAGCUGAGGCCGACAGGCGUAGGCGAUGGAUAACAGGUUGAUAUUCCUGUACCACCUAUAAUCGUUUUA
RNAcentral lists this ribosomal RNA (289 nucleotides) under Staphylococcus aureus. Its description in RNAcentral is "partial 23S ribosomal RNA". It matches the Rfam family "Bacterial large subunit ribosomal RNA", at positions 1167 to 1461 of the family's 2925-position model. Lineage: Bacteria; Bacillati; Bacillota; Bacilli; Caryophanales; Staphylococcaceae. The record is from RNAcentral.